This 505-nucleotide ribosomal RNA is filed under the name uncultured bacterium. RNAcentral's name for it is "partial 16S ribosomal RNA". It matches the Rfam family "Bacterial small subunit ribosomal RNA", at positions 28 to 507 of the family's 1533-position model. The record is from RNAcentral.
GACGAACGCUGGCGGCGUGCCUAAUACAUGCAAGUAGAACGCACAGUUUAUACCGUAGCUUGCUACACCAUAGACUGUGAGUUGCGAACGGGUGAGUAACGCGUAGGUAACCUGCCUGGUAGCGGGGGAUAACUAUUGGAAACGAUAGCUAAUACCGCAUAAUAUUGAUUAUUGCAUGAUAAUUAAUUGAAAGGUGCAAUUGCACCACUACCAGAUGGACCUGCGUUGUAUUAGCUAGUAGGUGAGGUAACGGCUCACCUAGGCGACGAUACAUAGCCGACCUGAGAGGGUGAUCGGCCACACUGGGACUGAGACACGGCCCAGACUCCUACGGGAGGCAGCAGUAGGGAAUCUUCGGCAAUGGACGAAAGUCUGACCGAGCAACGCCGCGGGAGUGAAGAAGGGUUUCGGAUCGUAAAGCUCUGUUGUAAGAGAAGAACGGGUGUGAGAGUGGAAAGUUCACACUGUGACGGUAUCUUACCAGAAAGAGACGGCUAACUACGUG